RNAcentral lists this ribosomal RNA (460 nucleotides) under uncultured bacterium. RNAcentral's name for it is "partial 16S ribosomal RNA". It matches the Rfam family "Bacterial small subunit ribosomal RNA", at positions 338 to 795 of the family's 1533-position model. The record is from RNAcentral.
CCUACGGGGGGCAGCAGUGAGGAAUAUUGGUCAAUGGGCUUACGCCUGAACCAGCCAAGUCGCGUGAGGGAAGACUGCCCUAUGGGUUGUAAACCUCUUUUGUCAGGGAGUAACGGGCGCCACGUGUGGCGCCACUGAGAGUACCCGGAGAAAAAGCAUCGGCUAACUCCGUGCCAGCAGCCGCGGUAAUACGGAGGAUGCGAGCGUUAUCCGGAUUUAUUGGGUUUAAAGGGUGCGUAGGCGGAGCGUUAAGUCAGUGGUCAAAUUGAGGGGCUCAACCCCUUCCCGCCAUUGAAACUGGCGCUCUUGAGUGGAAGAGAAGUAUGCGGAAUGCGUGGUGUAGCGGUGAAAUGCAUAGAUAUAACGCAGAACCCCGAUUGCGAAGGCAGCAUGCCGGCUUCCUACUGACGCUGAAGCACGAAAGCGUGGGGAUCGAACAGGAUUAGAUACCCCUGUAGUC